AUACGUAGGGGGCGAGCGUUGUCCGGAAUGAUUGGGCGUAAAGGGCGCGUAGGCGGCGCGGUAAGUCUGGAGUGAAAGCCCUGCUUUCAAGGUGGGAAUUGCUUUGGAUACUGCCGCGCUUGAGUGCAGGAGAGGUUAUCGGAAUUCCCGGUGUAGCGGUGAAAUGCGUAGAGAUCGGGAGGAACACCAGUGGCGAAGGCGGGUAACUGGACUGCAACUGACGCUGAGGCGCGAAAGUGUGGGGAGCAAACAGGAUUAGAUACCCUGGUAGUCCACACUGUAAACGAUGAAUGCUAGGUGUAAGAGGUAUCGACCCCUUUUGUGCCGGAGUCAACACAAUAAGCAUUCCGCCUGGGGAGUACGGCCGCAAGGUUGAAACUCAAAUGAAUUGACGGGG
This 397-nucleotide ribosomal RNA is filed under the name uncultured bacterium. Its description in RNAcentral is "partial 16S ribosomal RNA". It matches the Rfam family "Bacterial small subunit ribosomal RNA", at positions 523 to 918 of the family's 1533-position model. The record is from RNAcentral.